Molecule: long non-coding RNA, 2954 nt
Organism: Globicephala melas (long-finned pilot whale)
Lineage: Eukaryota; Metazoa; Chordata; Mammalia; Artiodactyla; Delphinidae
Source: RefSeq, a predicted model, not a curated record
CUCAGCUCUCUGCCCCUCAGCCACUUUGUGACCCAGACCCCCUCCCUCUCCACUUCCUCCCAGGGCACCGCCCCUUUCUGCCUCCUGAGCAGGCUUAGAGUUCUCAGUGGAUGCCUCCUUUCAGUGCUUGCUUCCGUAUCCCAUGCCCUCACCUCUGCUUUCCUCCAGCAAGUCUGGGAAAUCCCCGUUCCUGGGUGAACCCUGCGUCUCCUCUGCUUUCUCCCCUCCUGCUUCUGUGCAGUCAAGCACUGCUGGCAGAGGCCCAGGUGAAUUCACCAUCACUGACCUCAGGUGGGGACCCACCCCAGGCUGGUGAGUAUGAUUGUGUAGGGCACACUGGCUCGGGGGUGCCCGUUCCCCCUCUACCGCUGCUAGCUCUCCAGCCCCCCCAUGACCCUGAUGUAUAAUGGGCAAAACAGAGGAUAGUAGCAGAAAGUGACAGAUUUGCACAGGUAAGGAGAAAAACAGCACUGCUGGAAAAUCAUCCAAUCAGAGGGCCCUGUUUGCCAAAGAUACAAUGGCCCCCAGGGUAGGUCACAUGAAGAAAACCAGAUUCAAAGGAAUUGGUGAAGACACAGGGAAGGACAGGCCAUGAGCUGCAGGUCCCUAAUGGGCCAGCAGUCCGAGGCAGGCAGAGAUCACGGGACUGAGGGCUAUCAUCAGAAGCUCUGGGAGCAACAUGAGACAGAAGACAGCCGGAGGCAAGUGUGGAUGAGAUGGUCUCAGGAAAGGCUGAAUAGAGAGAAGAGAAGUAAGUCUGUGAACCACCAGCAUUGAAGGAGGAGGCAGAGGCAGGAAAGCCUGAGGGGUCUGUCCUGAGCAGGAGACACUGGUACCUGUAAAACCAAGGGAGAGAAGAAGUGUACCCAGCAGUUAACCAUCCAACAGCCUCAGAUAAAAAACCACUUUCCCAGCUUCCCAGCAUGUAGGGGUGGCCAAUAAUACCUAAACAGAAGUCAUUAGGUAGGGUUUCUAAGAAAACCUUGUGCCUCUCCCUCUUCCUCCUUGCUGCCACCUGGAACUCGGAUGUGGUGUCUGGAGCUACUGCAGCCAUCUUGGACCAUUUGGCUACCAGAGGAGCAAGACACUGUGCUAAGGAGAGCAGAGCAGAAAGGUAGAUGCUGUUGGGGCAGAAGAAGAAAAUGCCCACGGGACAUCCAUCUCCACGUCAGGCACCUUCUCCAUCCCUGACCGGACCCUCAGAGAGAGUGUUUUAGGUGAAAGGCUGCGUGAAGGACGGUGGCACCUAUAAAGCUCAUGGGCUUUGGGGACAGGCUGACCUGCCUCCUGGUCCUGCAUUUUCUACUUACUCUCCCAGGGACCUCGCCAGUUUCUUUACUCUCUGAUGUCAGUCCUCCAUCUGUAAAACAGGGCUAACCACUCAGAAUAUCUGUGCAGAGAUUCAGUGAGCAUCCUAUUCUGAGAACAUCUCUCUUCUUGUUGUGGGGGAGGAGACCUGACAUGCAGGCUGUUCAACCACCAGCCUCCCCGACCCCCCUGAGAUGCCGCGUAACCUGGCAGACAGCUGCUUGUGAUGGGCCGAUGGCCCAAGCUCUGUUGAGGAAGUUUUCAAAGGAAAUUUGUUUAAUUCAUCUUCUGGAAAUAUCUGAGAUCUCGACAUAGAAAGAGUCAUUCUCCGUGCAGACGUGAUGCCAGGAGGGGUGACCAAUCACUUGCAGCCGACAUCUCAGGGUGGCUGGGCCUUGCUGUCUCUUCAUGUUAGAUGUGGAGCUCGGCUGGUUGAUUCAGAUGCGAUUUUGGUCUCUAGGGUCCAGCUGGCUCCAUCUGCAAUGGAAGCUGCUGGAUCUCAGGUUCUGCUUCCCAGGGACUGGCUGCUUGCUGCCCGGCUGCCCAGGGCUCCUUACGGAAUCCACGCCGACCUCGGGGCAGGGACAGGAUCCCGGAUGCCUAGAGCAGUGCUGGGCACUCAGCACCUAGACUCUUUCCGAAGGCUGUUGCGUCAGGGAACCCAGAGCUGCGCGGAGCUGAGUUUUCAGACAGUGGGAGGGUCCAUGUCUGCCAGGACAGUGAGACCUCAUGGAUCCUGCGGUACAGAAGCGUGUGGGCAGCGGUGCGGGGAGAGUUUCCAGAAACUGAAGCGUAUCCCUGUGAGCACUGAGGCGCGUCUCUGCCUGUGCGUUUCUGCCUGUGGCUGUCUGCAGGCACUGAUGUUGUAUGGAAGGGGGUGCCGAUAUUUUGACAUGGUAACAAGUGUAGCUUUCAUUCUUGGGAAUCCCUCUUUUAACCCCACUGCUGUGACAUUAAGAGCACUACCCGCCUCCCAUCCCAGACCUUGAAGCUGAAGAGGGUUAGACCCACUCACCUCCCGGGGGGGAAAGGAAGUGACAAUGGACUGAUGGAAAGGAUGCUUGGCUGCGGGCUCCCUGGGAGGGGGUGCUGCUGUGUAUCAGCCCCUUCAGAUGGACGUGGCAUCACAGGGUCAGUAAGACCUUGGUCCUCUUCCCAGGGGCUGGGCCAUUGGAGCAGGUCUGACAGGUAGCAAAUCCCUCCAAGUCCCCUCCUUCCCACCACUUCUCAGCCUGAUACAUACAAUAGACGUGGCUGUGAGAUGCGUCUGGGCUGAGCGGGCCUGGGAAAACCUUGGCAUCUCCCAGAAUGAGGCAGGAGGAGCCCGAGAGGGGGUAUAGGCUGGAGGGAGAGAGGACCGUGCUGCAGAGGGGGGCCUGGAGCCUGGGAGGGGAAGCACCUUCUCAGCUGGGGCAGAGCAGAGACAAGCUGGGUUCUCAGCAGCUCAGCAGCUGCCCGAGGCUCCGAGGGCCACAACCUGGGACCAGACACCAUCCACUCAGGCCUGGGUGGGAUUUACAGCCCUUUAGAGCUCAGACACCCCCCUGGUAAGCAACAGAGGAAGAACAUUGAACGGACCGGGGGAAACAACUCAUACACGUAAAAUGCAUAUGACUACUUUUUCUGUAAUUGACAGAAUGGAGGCU